Molecule: ribosomal RNA, 428 nt
Filed under: uncultured bacterium
Lineage: Bacteria
Description: bacterial SSU rRNA
Rfam family: Bacterial small subunit ribosomal RNA
Source: RNAcentral
UGAGGAAUCUUGCGCAAUGGGGGAAACCCUGACGCAGCAACGCCGCGUGAGUGAGGAAGGUCUUCGGAUCGUAAAGCUCUGUCGGGUGGAAAGAAAUGUAUGGGGUUAAUAGCCUUCAUACUUGACGGUACCACCAAAGGAAGCACCGGCUAACUCCGUGCCAGCAGCCGCGGUAAUACGGGGGGUGCAAGCGUUGUUCGGAAUUAUUGGGCGUAAAGAGCGUGUAGGCGGCUUGGCAAGUCAGAUGUGAAAGCCCUGGGCUUAACCCAGGAAGUGCAUUUGAAACUGCAUAGCUAGGGUAGGGGAGAGGGAAGUGGAAUACCUGGUGUAGAGGUGAAAUUCGUAGAUAUCAGGAGGAACACCGGUGGCGAAGGCGACUUCCUGGCCCUAUACUGACGCUGAGACGCGAGAGCGUGGGUAGCAAACAG